This 2729-nucleotide long non-coding RNA is filed under the name Sus scrofa (pig). RNAcentral describes it as "lncRNA (ENSSSCG00015048003.1)". Lineage: Eukaryota; Metazoa; Chordata; Mammalia; Artiodactyla; Suidae. The record is from RNAcentral.
GCAAAUUAGAAAAUGGCAGAAUCAAAUUUAAAAGGACUCUCCCUAAAUUUAAAGACGAAAUGGGAGUGAGUUGUCUGAUCUUCAGUUUUGGUGAGGCAUCAGGCUAAGAGGUAAAGGCCGUCUUCAUUGUCAAAAGUAAAUCCCCUCUCUUUUCAACCUCUCUCUUUCUUGUAUUCAUCACACUUCCACUGAAACUUGGCUAAGUGUCAGGUUAGGUGUUGGGUGCUGAGGUUACAAACACAAAUGAGCUGAGUCCAAUUUUCUUUCAAGGAGCCGUUCAUAUCUCUCAUGAAAGAAACAAACAUAAUUGAUUAGCACAAAGAAAGCCUUGUUGUAGGAAAGAGAUUAAUCUCUAUCAUUUUUAGAGAUUCAUUUCCUAUUUGGGGGGUGACAUUCAUGACAUAUCAUUUAUUCAUGAUUUUAAGGAAUCUUUAAACAAUUUUAAAUUACAUGCCCAAUGGUACACUUAACACCAAAGGACAAACUGUGGCAAAUUCUUCUGAGUUGUUAACACUCUUUAUUCGUGAACUAUGCAUUUCCUGCUGGCAAAAUUAGAAAUUUAUUUUACUAAAGUAAAACUUCUGGAAUCAUUUCCUUCUGACACCUCGUCUGUGCUUUCUCUCUGGUCAUACUUUCUCACACAAUGUAGAGCCAAGUUCCUAUUUAGAUGGCAGUGUUUGUGGGGACCAUGACAUGCAAGGUCUCUUUAGGUUUGGUUUUACCUGUGCUGUAGCUGCAAAAACUCUUAUCUGCUGUUCAAAAAUAACUUGUAUGUUUUUGUUAUUACAUUUGUUGUGUGAUUUUUAAACCAGCAGAAGAGCUAGUAUUUUCUUUGCUAGGUUAGUUGAUAUCAGAGUAAAAGCACUUUACCUUUUAUUAGGAGUCAUGACUUUACUUGUUUAGUGUCUUUUCAGAUCCACUAGCAUGGUGAUUAUAGGGAUGGCUUUGGGGACAGUAUGGCAGGCUUAUUCCACUUGAGCCUUAGUUUCCUUAUCUGUGAAACAGAAAUAAGAAUAAAAAUUAGUAUGACAGGAUUAAGUGAAAUGUCCAUGUAAAGUAUUAGAUAUAUACCUAGCAUGCAGUAAACCCUCUGUGAAUCUCAGCUGUGGUGAUGUUCUCCCAGCAGCAUUGAAGAANGUACAGUAGGAAAAAAAAUUGCAUUGGGGAAAUAACCAUUUAAAAAAAAAUGGUUAAAAAAAAAAAGUACCCAUCUCGUGUUACAUCAUGUGAGUCACAAAAUGCUAACAAGUAGAUGAAGUUUGUAGGAAGGCAGACAGCUCAUCACUGCCACCAUAUAUCUUGACUGUGUGAUCUUAUCUAUUCUUUAGAAAAAUCUACAGAUAAAUUGCACUUAUCAUUUUUAAGGCUUUCACUUCCUCAUGGUCUGCUUUACUUACUACGCAUAUUUAUAUAACGUACAAAGGCAUGUCUACUUCUGCAUUGUCCAAAGAAGUUGUUCUCAAAGAAGUAGGAAUGUGUUCAAGAUCAAAAAUCUCCAAUGGGAAAGAGCUUGGACUGAAACUCUAGUUCUUUAGAUUUGGCAUUUUAAAUCAUAUCUCAUUUAUUUUGUCUAAAUCAAGAAUUCCUAUUCUUUGAUAAUUAUAAAUUUGAAUCUAACAAAAACACUUUUUUUGUAACUUUGUUUUUUAGUAACUUUGUUUCUAAUGUGCCUCACCAAAGAAUAUUAGAUGGAUAUUUCUAGUCUGUGUCUCAGGAUUUGCUUGGUCCAAUCUGCCUGAGAUUUAUUCCCUCUUCUGUAUAAGAAGCUCAGUCACUUGUCGUUCAUGAUGCAGUUCAGCACACGUAUCUUCCAUAAAGCCCUCCUUGGAUGCCCCAGUCUGAACAUUUUACUGUUUUGUCUGUCCAACUCCCUGGGCAUUUAUUCUGUGCUCUCUUUUAUUGUUAUUUACCUUUCGUGCUCAAAUUGACUGUUGUGUCCUUGUGCAGAGGCACCAUAGCCUCGCACAUUACUGAUUUAAACAGGUACGUGGUUGUUUGAAGAUGCUGGUGGAGAUGAUGAUGCUGGUGAUGAUAGCAAUACUUAUGGUAAUAUCUCCGGGUAACCUCAUUGGUGUUCUUCCCAUGGCUGUGACCCUGGCAAGCAACAAUCAGUUGAUCACUGAUAAUUCACCUGUUCAGUUGUGUUUAUUCAUUUGACUCAGAAUAUUUCUGGAGAGUCUACUAUACACCAGGCCCUAUCUAGGUACUAGGAUUAUGAAGACAAAGAAGGUAUGAACUCCAGAACUUACAUUCUAGUGGAAGAGUCAGACUUAAAAAAUAUAUUUUUAAUUUAUAUCAUUGGGAUGGCAAAAGUGAGGAUAUGAUUCCUAAUUUAUUUAUGAGGGGAAUGGUAGGUUCAGGAAAAACUUCAGAGAGGAGGCAGGGUUGGAAUCGAGUCUUAAAAGAUGAGUAAGUGGAACAAACCCACUUACGUCUGCUCUUUUUCUGUUAUUGGCAGCAAAUAUGUCUCAAGGCAAGACAAGACCACUAGUUUAAAGUUCCUAGAGCUAGAACAGAACUGGAGAUUUUUGACCUUCAGUGACUGGAGUAGGAGGUAAUGACAUGAUAUAAUUUAAGGAAACAAAUUAUCUGUUAUUUGGAGAAGUUACUGUGAAAUGACCUGAAAUUGUGUUGAGAUCACUGUGGCCUGCUCUUGCAAAAAAGGGACCUCCUCUGUCACUGUGGGGGAUUCUAAAGAGCUCAUGAAAAAAAAAAAAAAAAAAAAAAAA